CCGGAAUCGCUAGUAAUCGCGGAUCAGAAUGCCGCGGUGAAUACGUUCCCGGGUCUUGUACACACCGCCCGUCACACCAUGGGAGUUGGAAAUGCCCGAAGUCAGUGGCCCAACCGGAAGGGGGAGCUGCCGAAGGCAGGUUCGAUGACUGGGGUGAAGUCGUAACAAGGUAGC
This 174-nucleotide ribosomal RNA is filed under the name uncultured bacterium. RNAcentral describes it as "partial 16S ribosomal RNA". It matches the Rfam family "Bacterial small subunit ribosomal RNA", at positions 1326 to 1500 of the family's 1533-position model. The record is from RNAcentral.